AAAAAGAGUGACGAAUGGAGAACUAGGGUGCACUAAAGAGGACGGAGCCCCCCGAAAUGGCGGAGGAGAGACUUUGAAGCCCUAAUGUCCCGCGCGGCAACGCAGCGGGGGGGCCAGGGGAGCGAAACAUCCCAGUACCGGGCCCCCCACCCCCCCCUCCCACCCCAUAGUGGGUGUUUAGGGGGGGGGCACAGUAAAAAUCAAACGAGAUUCCGUAAGUAGCGGCGAGCGAAAGCGGACGAGCCCUUUCCUGUAGGCCCCCCGGCCCUGGCCGGGGGGCGGGCGAGUAGUGAUGGGAAGAUGGGUGUCCACACAUCCAAGGCUUAACAAUUAGUGUCACACCGAAAGAGAGGAGUACUGUAAAGGAAAGUUGAAAGAGGCUUGAAAAGACCUUGAAAUGAGUCACUUAAAGCAGUUGUAACACAACGUACCUUUUGCAUAAUGGGUCCACGAGAUAAAAUUUGGCAAACUUAAAGUGCAAUCUCACAGCCACCCCGCUGCGUUAUCGCGCGGGGAUGGCUGGGGGGAUUGUUCUUGGCCCCCUAAGGUGUAGUGAAAGCAAGGGGGGGGGAAUACCCCCACCCCUCAGUCAAAUUUCCCGAAACCAAGUGAUCUAGCCAUGGGCAGUUUUUAGGAACGAACCGGUGGUUGUUGCAAAAAUCUCGGAUGACCUGUGGUUAGGGGCGAAACGCCAAUCGAACUUGGAGAUAGCUGGUUUUCUGCGAAAACUAUUGAAGUAGUGCGUGCACAGUAAUGAGAGCCCCGCCCCCUUCGGAGGCAGGGGCGUGAGAAUGGCUUGGAAUGUGGUAAAGCCCGACCCCCCGAAGCCGGGGGAUUAACUAUGAAGAAAAAAAGCCAGAGUGGCACAGACAGACUGUGGGCGAUAAGGUCGACGGUCAAAAGGGGAGAAGCCCUAACCAGAAGUUAAAGUCAUUAAUAAAAGAUUUAGUGUAAAAGAGAUAUUGGGUUUAGACAAUGAAGAAGUAGGCUUGGAGCCAGCCACCUUUGAGAGAUGACGUAGCAGUUCACUCAAGAAAUUCUUUUAUCUCUAAAAUUAUGGUGGCUAAAGUUGAACUGAAACUCUGGGGGCGAAAUAACAAGGUGGGGUUCCCCUAGAUUAUGCAACCCUCAAGGGGGUUCUAUAAAGCUUAUGGGAACGAACCCCCCGCUCGCUCUCUAAUGUUAGAGAGCGGCCUCCUUACCAUUAAGGGGGGUAUAUUUGCCCGGUAGCAGAACGUACUGUUAAUUGUUCAGUGAGAGCCCGCACGGCAUCAGAAGUGAUAAUGUGGACAUGAGUAAAAAAUCAUAGCAUCACUCCCCCCCUGGUUUCCCAUAUUAAUUAUGGGGUUAAACAGCCCCUAAAAUCGCAGCCCCAAAGGUUGCGUUGAUGGGGGGCCAUGAGUAAUAGACGCACAAAGUGCCAGGAAAGAAUUAUUCAAGCUCUUCCCAGAAGGCCUCCUUCUGGCAAGGGUACUGUACUAAACUAACUAAAGUGGGGGAUAGUGAGGGGAUAAAUUUUCUUAAGGAACUCGGCAAAAUCCCAAUGGCCCACCAGGGCAUAUUGGAACACGGGCCUCGACUGUUUACCAAAAACAUAGCCCUCGGCUAAUAUGAAAAUAGAUGUAUAGAGGGUGAUGCCUGCCCAAUGGUUGUAUCUAAAAGCGGUUGAUAAAAGUCGACCUCGUAAGGACAAUUGAAUGGCCGCGGUAACACUGACCGUGAUAAUGUAGCGUAAUCAAUAGCCAAUUAAUUGUUGGCCAGUAUGAAUGGCGCCACGAAGGCCCCACUGUCUUAAGGAAAUUCCCAGUGAAAUUGAAUUCGUAGUGAAGAUGCUACGUCCAAUUUGUUAGACGAAAAGACCCCGUUGAGCUUUACUGGGGCACUUACACGGCCCCGGCCUUCCCGUGUCCGGGAACCGGCCGAAUUUAAAUGGGUGGUUUAGACUAUGUGGCAGCCCCCCGCCGGGGCAGAUGAAACCCCACUCCCCCAUGUCAAAGGGGCUAACCCCCUCUUGGGGGGGAGAGUGUAAGUAGGACAGUUUGGUUGGGGCGACCGCCUUUUAAAGAGUAACGAAGGUGCGCUUAAGGUGCGCAAUUAAUGACUGAAGCCUGACUGCGAGGGGGACACCCCGAGCAGACACCCCUAAGCCCGCCCGAAGGGCGGCGGUGGGGUGGGCCAUAGUGACCCGUUAAUUUAGAGUGGAAUAGUUAACGAUCAACGAAUAAAAGUUACCACGGGGAUAACAGCGUAAUAUCGUUAGAGAGUUCACAUCGACGACGAUGUUUGCGACCUCGAUGUUGAAUUGCGGCAUCCUGGGGUGCAGCCGCUCCCAAGGGUUGGUCUGUUCGUCCAUUAAAGCCGUACAUGAUUUGAGUUAAAAGCGUGGUAACACAGCUUGGUUUCUAUCUACAAAUUGAAGAAACAUCGAUAUAACUAUCUUCUAGUACGAAAGGACCGAAGGAUUAGUGAUCCUCUUAUUUUUUAUAAGUUACGAUCAACCCAUUGAUCAUCGAACCCUAGGGUUCGAUAGGUCUCUCAGCUAAUCACUGACCGCUUCUAAAGUGGGAAAGUCAUAUCGAAAUGUUUGGGCCCAUUAUAGGGGGGCUAAACCCCACCAUCACGAGCCCGCUAUAGCGGCCUCCUAAGGAGGGGAUGGUGUAGAAGCAGCAACGCGGCUUCCCAUCCUUUUAAAGAG
This 2695-nucleotide ribosomal RNA is filed under the name Palythoa mutuki. RNAcentral's name for it is "large subunit ribosomal RNA". It matches the Rfam family "Bacterial large subunit ribosomal RNA". Lineage: Eukaryota; Metazoa; Cnidaria; Anthozoa; Zoantharia; Sphenopidae. The record is from RNAcentral.